Molecule: long non-coding RNA, 347 nt
Filed under: Elaeis guineensis (African oil palm)
Lineage: Eukaryota; Viridiplantae; Streptophyta; Magnoliopsida; Arecales; Arecaceae
Description: long non-coding RNA (EGUI_LNC077956)
Source: RNAcentral
GACUCUUCCAUUUCAUCGCCCAAAAAUAAGGUGGUGUCCAAAUUAAUUUGGCAUGGAGUUUCUUCCAAAAGAAGGACUCCUUCUCCUCUUCCACACCCACACAUCCCAUAGCACCAUCAGAUGGCACACAAAAAAUAAGGAAUGAGUGGAACUUGGUAAUAAAAUUAAGAGGAGUAGAUGAGAAGGACUCUUCCUUCUCAUCACCAUUUAUUUUGGGUGUGACAAUUAAUUUGUGUGUGGCUUUUGAUGUAGAGGAGAUGGAUCACACAUGGAACACUUUCAUAAAAUCCAAAUCAGCAACCUAUUUAAAAAUAGAUUCAAACCCAAUCACAUUAUGUCAAAGCAAC